RNAcentral lists this ribosomal RNA (574 nucleotides) under Rhodotorula paludigena. RNAcentral's name for it is "eukaryotic LSU rRNA". It matches the Rfam family "Eukaryotic large subunit ribosomal RNA", at positions 62 to 648 of the family's 3401-position model. Lineage: Eukaryota; Fungi; Basidiomycota; Microbotryomycetes; Sporidiobolales; Sporidiobolaceae. The record is from RNAcentral.
AAACUAACAAGAUUUCCCCUAGUAGCGGCGAGCGAAGCGGGAAGAGCUCAAAUUUAUAAUCUGGCACUUUCAGUGUCCGAGUUGUAAUCUCUAGAAGUGUUUUCCGCGUUGGACCGCACACAAGUCUGUUGGAAUACAGCGGCACAGUGGUGACACCCCCGUACACGGUGCGGACGCCCAGCGCUUUGUGAUACACUUUCGAAGAGUCGAGUUGUUUGGGAAUGCAGCUCAAAUUGGGUGGUAAAUUCCAUCUAAAGCUAAAUAUUGGCGAGAGACCGAUAGCGAACAAGUACCGUGAGGGAAAGAUGAAAAGCACUUUGGAAAGAGAGUUAACAGUACGUGAAAUUGUUGGAAGGGAAACGCUUGAAGUCAGACUUGCUUGCCGGAGCUUGCUUCGGUUUGCAGGCCAGCAUCAGUUUUCCGGGGUGGAUAAUGGCGGUUAGAAGGUAGCAGCUUCAGCUGUGUUAUAGCUUUCCGCUGGAUACAUCCUGGGGGACUGAGGAACGCAGCGUGCUUUUAGCGGGGGUUUCGACCUCUUCACGCUUAGGAUGCUGGUGUAAUGGCUUUAAACGAC